Mus musculus (house mouse) is the source of this 815-nucleotide long non-coding RNA. RefSeq annotates it as RIKEN cDNA 1700006H20 gene. The record is from RefSeq and is a predicted model, not a curated record. Lineage: Eukaryota; Metazoa; Chordata; Mammalia; Rodentia; Muridae. The transcript has 4 exons.
GUUUUCUACUGGGUCUCCGGUGCAAGCUUCACUCAACCAAAACAGGCUGUCUUUCACGGUCCCACAGCAUACCACCUUGCUGGGAUCAAAAAGGGCUCUUCACUUUUGUUUAGGAUUAAGUUAAUUCACCUUGAGACAUUAUUCUUUACAGUGUGGCUCUUGAAAUAUGCUACAUUCACACUGAGUAAGAUCUGUUUUGAGCCAGUCUUUGAAGUCUGACCCAUCUGCAUGCUUACCCAGUAUAUGUGCAUACCAGGAGCUUCUGGUAGGCUCUUGGGAAAAGCAACUGUUUUCUCACUGUGUGAGUACCUGCUCUUGGUCUUCUCAUACUUCUGAAAUCGUUUCCAGCCUCAUGUAGUUUUCUCAUAUGGACAGAGUGUAAUUGUCUACCUGUGUGGGAUACUUUAGUGCUCUCUGGAGCUGUCCUGUUUGCCUCUGUCCUAUGAAUGGGGAGCACACUGGUCUUCUUGAGACUCAGUUCUAGUUGCAGGGCUCCAGUUCUCUGCAGCUUCCACAUGAGCUUCUUGACUAUUUUCUCCAUUCUAGUGUCAACUCCUCUCCAAUCAACAUACGGCUGCAGGACUUCAAGGCUAAGGCAGCAAGAAAAGAAAUCCUUCCAUAUUCAAGACCGUCGUGCUGCAGCAUUGUAUGGGCCACAUUUCUGUUGCUGAGACAGAAUGCCUUGACAGAAAGGAACUUAGGAAGAUUUGCGCUCCAAGUUCUCUGAUAGAGGUACAAUCUGCCACCAGUUUUCUUCCAGACUACAGCACUCUAUGAAGCAAGAGGAAACAUACUUUUAAUAAAAUCCUGUUAAU